CCUACGGGCGGCAGCAGUGAGGAAUAUUGGUCAAUGGGCGCGAGCCUGAACCAUCCAAUUAUCUUUCCUGAUGACUGCCCUACGGGUUGUAAACUUCUUUUAUAAAGGAAUAAAGUGAGGCACGUGUGCCUUUUUGUAUGUACUUUAUGAAUAAGGAUCGGCUAACUCCGUGCCAGCAGCCGCGGUAAUACGGAGGAUCCGAGCGUUAUCCGGAUUUAUUGGGUUUAAAGGGAGCGUAGAUGGGUUGUUAAGUCAGUUGUGAAAGUUUGCGGCUCAACCGUAAAAUUGCAAUUGAUACUGGCAGCCUUGAGUACAGUUGAGGUAGGCGGAAUUCGUGGUGUAGCGGUGAAAUGCUUAGAUAUCACGAAGAACUCCGAUUGCGAAGGCAGCCUACUAAACUGCCACUGACAUUGAUGCUCGAAAGUGUGGGUAUCAAACAGGAUUAGAUACCCGAGUAGUC
RNAcentral lists this ribosomal RNA (460 nucleotides) under uncultured bacterium. RNAcentral's name for it is "partial 16S ribosomal RNA". It matches the Rfam family "Bacterial small subunit ribosomal RNA", at positions 338 to 795 of the family's 1533-position model. The record is from RNAcentral.